UUGUGCCCGGUGGGCAUCUGCUGCAUUCUAUUUGGCAAAGAUCAGUUAAUGGCUUGUUACUUCUGUCAAAUUCUUGCAACACCAGAAUCCAAAAAAUCUGUUAAGUAUAAGAAUUCUCUUUAGGCGUAUAGUAGUAUAAGAAUUUAAAUAUCAGCAGGCUAUAUUUUUAACGUCCUAUGUUUCCACAUUUUCUAUGCUGAGUUUUCAUGCAUUCUGAUUCAUUUUUUAAGACAUGAUAUUGUUAU
This 245-nucleotide long non-coding RNA is filed under the name Nicotiana benthamiana. Its description in RNAcentral is "long non-coding RNA (NBEN_LNC001167)". Lineage: Eukaryota; Viridiplantae; Streptophyta; Magnoliopsida; Solanales; Solanaceae. The record is from RNAcentral.